Molecule: ribosomal RNA, 254 nt
Filed under: uncultured prokaryote
Description: partial 16S ribosomal RNA
Rfam family: Bacterial small subunit ribosomal RNA
Source: RNAcentral
UACGAGUGCCCCAAGCGUUAUCCGGAAUCAUUGGGCGUAAAGGGUGUGUAGGCGGCAUGGUUAGUCUCUUGUCAAAGCUCCUGGCUUAACUGGGAAAACGCAAGGGAAACGGCCAUUGCUAGAGGAUGUGAGAGGUGAAUGGAACUCAUGGUGUAGGGGUGAAAUCCGUUGAUAUCAUGGGGAACACCAAAAGCGAAGGCAAUUCACUGGCGCAUUCCUGACGCUGAAACACGAAAGCGUGGGUAGCGAAUGGG